Grus americana (Whooping crane) is the source of this 9814-nucleotide RNA transcript. It is a transcript of the gene named chromosome 16 C12orf43 homolog, with no coding region annotated. The transcript has 8 exons. Lineage: Eukaryota; Metazoa; Chordata; Aves; Gruiformes; Gruidae. The record is from RefSeq and is a predicted model, not a curated record.
CACCUGCUUUUGAAAGAUAACUUCCUACAGCAGAUGGAUUCCAUCCUAUUGCAUGCUUCCAUGGUAGAAGAUUUUUGUGCUGACUCACCACCAAAAACUUUGAGUGCUGUCAGUCAGUAUUUCUGAAGCAGUGAAAUUAUCAUUUCAGAGAUGUCACAAGAUGUGGUAAAGUACUGGGAAUUUUAUUACAGUCACUCACUUUUUCCACAUCCUUAUUAUUCAGUGCCAAGUAUUCUCUCUUUCUCUACAAACACAAAAGCAGUAUGGGCCUUCUGGUACCACUGGCAUGUUUUUCACUCUUUAUUUGUGUGAGCUGUUACAUCUGAGAAACAUUAAGAUAUUUGCCUGUACAGCACACGUGAAAGGAGGCUGUUCAGCCACAGAUGGACGGAAAACAAGCUGUGCUUACUUUCAGUAAUUUCCCACCCGUGGGCAAUUCCCAUUCCCGGCAGCACAGCCCAAGGAAGGGGCAGUGGGAAACAGUGGUCGGGCCACCCAGGGCCCUUGCUGCCCUUUGGGGUUGCUCAGUGUGGGCAGCACCGUCUGCCCCGCUCUCCUCUAGAAGCUGGUACCAAUAGCAUAACUAUUUCUUUUUUCACGGUAUCUCACAAUUCUCUCGUAUUGGGAGAGACCCGGGGGUGCCAAUGGCGGCCCGUGGGCGUUGCUGCUCUCCCGGGGCCGGCCCCAGCCCCGCCGCCGCCAUCUUGUCGGAGGCUGCCCUGGAGGACUACAGCCCCCAGCAUGCCCCGCGACCGACCGGCCGGACUACAGCGCCCAGCGUGCCCUGCGGCUGCGCGCCUUCAAGAUGGCGGCGCCCAGGCGCUGCUCGGGCCUGGACACAGACACGGACUCGGACAGCAGCGGCGAGGCGGCAGCGCGGUUCCGAGAGGCCGCCUGGGACUGCGCCGCGCUGAUGGCGGUGGCCUUAAAAAGGAUCAGUUACAGCCUGCUCAGCCUAGCCUAAGGCAUGAGGUGAAUGGUCAUGAUGAGGAUGGAAAUGAACUACAGACAACACCAGAGUUCAGAGCACAUGUUGCAAAGAAACUGGGAGCAAUGCUAGACAGUUUCAUCACCGUCUUGAAGGACUCAUCAGGAACUUCACAAACGUCUGUGCAACAGUCUGACUCUGCAGAUGAUGGUUUUCGCCUCUUCUCUUCCUCUGUCCCAGGAGACUGUGGGAAAUCGGAGCCUUGCCCUGCAGCAAGGAGACAGCCAUCUAGCUCCAGUGACAUGGACAGCGACCAAGAGUGGCAAAAGUACCAGGAGGCGGCUGUGUCAGCCGCAGACAUUCUGAAGCAAAGUGCUUUUCCUGCAUUGUCCCAGGAUUCCAGCUGGGAUCAGAGUCAGGGUUAUGUAGAGCACAGACAUAAAAAGAAGAAGAAAAAGAAAAUUAAGGGAGAGAACAAUAUUCAAGAGAAAAUAAUAGACCCACUAGAGUGUGACCAGAUCAGUAAAGAUUUGCCACAGUUGGUGUCUGCAAAUGGACAGCAUGAGAGACAGGACAGCAAUUGUACAGAGAACUCAGUGUUGCCAGGAGUUGUGAAGAAGAAAAAGAAGAAGAAAAAAAGAGAAUGAAGAUUUUGCUCUGCAAACGGCAGGCAAGAGAAGCCUUCAUUUCCCUGAGGUGGGUUCUGAAUUGCUGCUUUGGACCAGACCUUGCUUAAACAGAGGUUCAGAGCUGUGAAGUACUCAGGACCAUCCUCUGGCCCUUUCCUCUGGAGCCUGCUAGACAACCCUCACUGAUGUCAGUGCACAGCCUGGAGCCGGGCUAGGCAGAGAUCAGGGAAGCUCCUGGAAAGCCUAGCAAUGGACACUUUCCUGAUUCUACUUUAAAAGCGAUGGCUGCAGUCACCACAAAGACUUUCUUGUAUCACUUAAUAGCUGCCCACAAGUCAAGCUCUCUGUUAAAAUGUGGUCUACAGUAUUAGACCAGGAACUGUUAAUAAUGCCCCAAGAGGCUUCUGCCCAAAGGCAGAAGAAGUGCCUCCAUCUGGUUUCUGGAUUUGAAAUCCUUGUGUAGAUGCUGAAAUAGCUUUGUAAGCAUUGAAGUUUUACUGGGAAUCACUGGGCAUGGAGAUUCUUGCCUGCCUUCCUUUUAUCUAUUGCUGGGAGUAAUUUCUAUAUAGACUGUUCUGCCCUGUCUUACAAUAUUUAGAAUACUAUUUUAAGGACAUUACCUUUAGGCAUCUAUUAAUGGAAAGGUUUGUUCUUAAAAACAAAAAAAAAGUUUAUUAAUAGGUAACAACUGCUUACAUAUUAUCAAAUCCUGAUACUGGUUCAGAUGCUUUGAAUAGAUUCUCAGACAUACAGCUGCUCUUUUUUAAUCUUUGACCAGAAAUUAGAAACAUGUUAAUACAGAUUUCCUACUAUUUUCAUUUUACUUUGUCUAAUUUUGAUCUAUUAUAUUCCUCCAUAAGUAUACUUGUAACUUUUUGCUGAAACUGAGGCUUCUGGUCCCCUCAUACUGUCCUCAACAGCAGCAGUGAAUUGUUCUAUGCUGUGAUAUGAGGGACUGCUGAAAGAAAACUCUGAUGUUCCAGAAUAAAGCUUUGCAAUUAAGAUUCAGCAUGAGGCUUAGGAGAUCCUUGUUCUUGCCCAGUCCCCUCUGCACUAUCUUAGGGGUUUAGGUAGAUCACAGAAUCUCUCUGUACCUCAGUUCCCAUUUGUUAAAUGGGAAUGCUGCUCAACUGACUAGAGAUAGAUGUGAGACUGUUUAUUGGAAAGCAUUAAUAUCAUAGGUUUGCAAGAGAGGUAAGGCUGUUGUGCUGAGGCUGGUAAUAAGCACAGGAAAGACUGGCAGCAAGCUCCUAGAAAGGCAGGGAGGAUCAGAAAGCAGAAUUCAUGCUGAAGUGAGGGUGGCAGGAAGGAAUUCCCUCCAUCCGUGUGUCUGUUCUUAGAUCACAGCGGAUGGUACUUCAGUCCUGCUUCACCCAUUCAUUGCAGAAAAUGGGACAAAGCCAGGUGCUCUUCUUCAACUUCUAUGGCUUCCUUUGUGGAGAGAUACCCGAUAAACCAUCGGAAGUUAAUGAUCAAAAAGCUUAUCAGGGUCUUUUCAUCUAUAAAUUUAUAAGACAAAAGAGAAAUAAUAAAGCCAUUGGAUAAUUAGUAACUAGCCAGGGCCCGCCCGGUGCCACUGGGCUCAAACUACCCCAAGACCUGUACGCAGACUCAGGAAGAUGAGAAGGAGACAAGGAUGAGGGGAAGAAAAAGAGUGGAAGGGAAAGAGAUAAUUAGCCAAGAAGACAACAAAAUGGGAGGAGUAGCAGCAGAGACAAAAGUGAAGAGAGAAGGGAAUACGUAAAAAGAAUGGGAAAGAGGUAAAGGGAACAGAGGAGACUAAAAGAUGUGACAGAGCUGGAAGUGGGGAAGAGAUGAGACACGUACAGGGCCAGAAAGAAGACUGAAUUAUUGGGAAUGUUUUCCCCACCCAGGUAAGAGCUGAUCCAGUGAAUUUUCCUCUGUUGGGUACUGCAGAGUCAUCAACUCUCAAUCUGCCAGGGAGCUUUCUUCUCCUAAGUAUUUACAGUGAAUGCUAACUCUUGUCAUGCUAUGUUUCUAGCUCUGGCCUUUUGUGGUGGGAUUUGAUGUUUGCUUCUUGUUGUUACAUUUUAUGUUAAUUUCCUUUGCGCGUGAAAGAGAGUGAUCAGAAAGCCUUAGAAAUUCUGUAGAUGGAUUUUAGUUUUAGUGAGGAAUUAAGUAUAAGUGCAGGAUGUUGCUGCGUCUUUUUGUCUUCUGUCAGCUUGUCAUGUCAAAAUAUCCCCCAAACAGACAGGCAAGAGUCUGUUCCUGUUGUGAACAAUAGGUUGGAUGAACCUGAUCCUUGCUUGGACAAACCUUUUAGGUUGCCCACGGGAAUUGUAUCCCAGCAAGAAUCCCAAAUGGGAAUCCUGGUGAAUGUUUCUCUGAGUCUGUAAUGAGGCUUAUUGGUUUGAAGAACUCUUCCUGUCUUUUGAUUUCAAAAAUGCUUGUUUGCAAAGGCAAAUUUGUAUGGGAGUAAAACCUGUAAUUGUUGCUGCAUAUGCUGUAGUUAUGACAGGCAGGGGAUGGUAGAACAGUGUUUUGCCCAGGUUUUAACCUCUGCGUGUAUUUAGUAUGUAUUCUUUCUACAAGAAAAAUCGCCACUGAAGUCAGGAGAACUUUGCACUCGCAAGAAUGACAAGAACAAGUUCUCUUGGUUUGUCUUUAACCAAUAAUCUGUAGCAAAACCUAGUAAAGUUAACAAUAUUAAUCUUCUUAAAUAUAGCAGGGAACCAUUACAACUUCACUUUACCAUACAUCCUCAGACAAAUAUAGCACCAGUAAAGAGUGACCAGAUUUUUUUAUUUUUUUUUCUCCCCUGACGACUGAAAUUGUAAAUGCUAUUAAAAAUUUAAAUCCAACAUUCAGAGAGAUGCAAGUUAUACAGGCCUCGGACUGUUCUGAAGCCAGAUGAUAUAAGCACUUCAAAUACGUAAUCAGGCUCCGUGGCUCCCUUCAUGCAUUUUAUGUGAGAUGAAAGGAAAGUUUGAGCAUUUAUAAAGAAUUUGGGGAGUGUUUUGGGGCUGCUGGUCCUGGCAUGGAUGAAGAUUGUCUCUGAGCAGCUGGAUCAACUGUGAAUACCAGGGACAUUGAGCAGGAGGGGAAAGGAAAAGAGAUUUAGAGGGAAGAGUGCAAGAAAGCAGGAAAGAGGAGCAGCAAAUCUGUCCUUACUGUAAUAGUCUUUCCACCACAGCCUUCUGGUGAGCAGCCUCUUCAGGGCUCAAGUUUUCCAGCUCCUUCAUUAUUGGAGGGGUAAAUUCCUCCCCGUCAUCAGAGGUUUCAUCUUCCGAUAACCUGGACUCCCCCAUUCCAUUGGGGAGGUUGGGGAUGUCAGGACAGGGUUCCCCUUUCUCUGUCUGGAGGGCAUUGAUAGCGCGCUGACUUUCACUCUGGAGCACAUAGGGAUCCACUUCGCUCAGCGCCUUGAUCAGGGUCUCCUUGGUUAGCCCCGACUCCAGCAGUGCUUCCAGCAGCUCCACUUGAAGAUGACUCAGCUUUGAGACCAUGGUCUUCAGGCUGGUGUCUCUUGGAUUUGAAUUUCGGGUUAUCCUGCUUCCAGUUUCCCUACACCAUGUUCCUGAGGUAGCACGCCCGACUGUCAGGAGAGUGGGCACGGCACAGCCUCCCGCCUUUACGCCCCCCCAAAAAAAACAAAAUACAAAAUUGAGCCACUUCAGACCCCCCACAACUGUCCUGAGCCAGUGCUGAUAAAGGGACCCUUGGCUAUCUGUUUACAUUGGAGCAAUGUAAAUUCUCCAAGGUUCAUAUUUAUCUGUGUGCUUAGCAAGUUACUGAACUUUGGACUUCAGCACUGCAGCAGCAGUUCACAAAGUGCAGAGGGAGACAAAGCAGGGGGAGGGGGAAAGGGAGGGAAGCAGAAGAGAGAAGGGGAGUAAAAUGAAGGGAUAAAAGAUCUGCAGCAUGGAAAAGUAAAGCAGGCUAUGGAAAGAAAACUAGGAAAAUGAGGAUGGAUAAAUGUGGCUUAUUUCUGGCCCCAUUAGUUUUAGAGAAGGAAGGAGGUGGAGUACCCAAAAAGAGGUGCGUUUGGCUGUGCAAGGUUCAGGAGAAGGUGCUGCUGUUGGAACAUUGCAGCUGUGGUGAGGUUCAGCCAGUCUUAGCCCCUACCAAAGGCUUUGGGCUGAGAGAAAGCUGCACUGGCAGCUUCACCAGCCUUUGUGCAACCCCGCAGCAGAGAAGUGUGACCACUGGGUUUAUAUGAAUGUUCCCAAGGGUCACAAGAUGUUCUGGAGCUCCAGCUGACUUCUGUGCCAGGGCAUCAAGUGUUAAAUGACUAUUUCACUUCUGGCUUUGGCUUGCUGCGUAUCUUGAUAUGCAAAUACUAGUACCGCCAUUAUAAUGUGCUAUGUUUAUUGCUUAAUCGAUGAGCAGUGUACCCACAUAAUUCGGGGGAUUACAGGGCUUGCACCACUCUGCUUGUGAUUAAAGCACAUGGUAAGGAAUAGCCCUGGGUGUUGGUUCAUGCUGUGAAAGUCCCUGCUCUAUCAUCAAUUGCCCUGCUGCUUCUGAGGAGUGCUCUGGGCAGGCUUGUGGUUCCCAUUUAUCGUCUGCCUCCAUCCCUCCUUGAUACCAGCCCUGCUCUUAAGGUUCUGCUCCCACCUGUUGGGUGACUUCCUAAAGCAUGCUUACCAGCUGGGCUGGAGUCACUUACUGCAGUUCUCAGGGAGUGCUUAUAACUAGAUUGUCUUUUCUGGUCUGAAAAUAUAUGAAUGAAUCUACCUACUUUGGUUAAAUUAGGGAGUAACUUGAUGUGCACGUGUGGACUUGAUGCAUGAGCAUCUCAUGCGAAUGAUUCCUUGUGUGGUCAACAGGAGAAGGAAUCUCAAAACUGUUCUCAAUGGAGGUUUCCUAGGGGCAGCUACCUGUCUCUUGAUUCAUUCCCUUCAGGCCCAAGCUCAGAGGAGCCUAGUAGGACUGUCCCCAAACUGAGUGAUGUCCCAAGGCAAUGCUGCCGAGUGACCUUGGCCCCUGUUUUCCCUUUGAGGGCAGCAUUAGCCAUGCUCUCCAGGCUUAUGCGAUGACAUGCUAAGUCAGCAGCUGAAGAACAGAGCUCCUUCGGAGACUGGACCCCCUCUUCCCUCCAGGCACAGCAAGUUGUGGUCGGGCUGCUGGGCUGACCCUUCCAUCCAGGACUAUUGUUAACUGUUAGCUUUUCUUUCAGAUGGCAUCUGCACCCAGACUACCAGGUCCCCGCUCUGCACUGAGUUUAAAAAAGCUCAGAUGGAUAUAGAAGACUUUCUUUUGUGUGGCUGAAAAGAAGUAACAAUUUGGAGUCCAUGUAAAAAUAUUUCAUGUAAGAAAUUUUCAUGUGAACGUUAAUGUAAAAAGACAUCUUUAGCUUCUAAAGUUUUUUUUAGUCACACUCUUAAUAAAGAGUAUUUAAAGAAUGGUAAGCUUUUUAGCAUUGUCCUAUUAAUGUUUUGAUACAAUUUCCAUACAUUUUACUUUUUUAUUACAGUUUUCAUUAUUUCUGCUGGCCCCCCCCCCCCGGGUAGACACAUCAGUAAUGCUGGCUGAUAACAGUAAUUGUUGAUUGUAAUUACAGUAUCCAACCAUGACAUACAGUUUCUGCAUGAUAAGUCCUUACAAUUCAAGGACUUUGCAAACAGAGACAACAGAUUGUGGGCCUUCUGCAAUAUGUGUCAGGGGAGAUACUGUCAUACUGUGUUACUUGUUUCUGUCUGUCUUUGGCAUGGUGAUUUCUUUUACCUAAACUACAGUGGAAAAUAUUACCAUUGUUUUUGUUUAAAAGAUUGUCCAAUCUAUGUUCUGUAAGUAUAUAUACCUGUUGAAUGCUUGAGGGGGCAUCAGGGCACAGGCCAUUAAGUUUAGACAAAGAACAGCAAUAUUUGUCACGGGAAACUGUAAAGAGAAUAAAACAUAGCAACAAAUUAUCUAUCUAUAUUGUGUGGUUUUGAGGAUUCCUUAUGCACCCAGAAGUCUUGUUGCUGUUGCUUGCCUUGAAGACUUCAAGCUGCAGAGGUUUUUAAAACAGUCCAUCUUGAAACCAGUGAACUUUGAAGUCUAUAAAAACAGAAAUUAACAUCUGUUUGUAUGUUAGGGCCUCAAUGAAUGCUACAACUGGAUGCCAUGUGGAGAAUCCUUAGCUGAAUAUGGAAACCUUUCAAAUACUGAGGAGGAGGUAAAUAUUCUCUAUCGCUUUAUCGUGAAGGGCUUUAUCCAUUGGUCUAUUAGAAUUGUCCAUUGUAAACUGCAGGAGCCUGGACAAUUAAAAAAACCAGAAGUAAACUUCUACAUGGUCAAUUUUACAUUCACUGCAACCUGCCAGGCUGCACUAGUGAAUGGUUCAGCACUCCACUAAGUAUUUCAGAUUAUUCAGCGCAGGAAAACCAGCAAGCUUUUCAGUGUUUCUUAAAUGUUAUAAAUUGCUAGCAGUCAGACUGCACAUUUGGGAAGCAGGAAGGAGACCCCUGCUGCAAAUUAAUCAGCACCCCUAUUUUAUACCCUGCAUUAAGGAUUGCAAUAUCAUAUUUCUCAGAUUAUUAGAAGUGCAGUUGUGAGGUAAUAAGAACAGCAGAGGUCAAGGGUGGAAGCUGCAAAGCUUUAACCAGCUAGAUGAUGGCUCUAGUAGUAGAGCAAGAGCUAAAUUGUCGAGUGCCAUAAUCCAGACAGCGUUCUCCUGUAAAUGAAUUGUACUCAGGGAUUUUGCCUUGAGGAUGAAUAUUUGAAAGAAAAGGUCUUGGUUUUGCUAUACCCAUUUUCAUCUAUUACCAGUACUUAGUGUAUGUUGAUUUCCUUAAUUGCAACAAUUUGCUGGGCCAUGACUUGAUUUUCAAGUCACCCUGACUAACCUGAUCUUGGUAACUGUGACAGGGGAAACUUUCGAAGUUUGAAGACACCGAGUGAUACCUGCUUGUUUUUCUCAUGUUUGCAGUAUUAUUUUUUUUUCCUGCAGAAUUGCUUGGUUUUCCUUAAGUGUAAUUAAUAUGAUGGUUGAGACCCUUCAAAUUCAUUGACGAGACAUAGGCAGUUUUACAACACUAAACUGGUCACCUUAAUAGCAGGCUUACAAACAAUGUUACAAAUCAGUUUGGAUGCAGAUUGGAGAAAUACAUCAAUUAGUAAUCACAAGAAGUCUGAUUUCUGUUUUAUUUUAAUGGCAAGUUUAAUAAAGAUUAUUUAAAUGUGUUCAAUUACUUUGCAUUGUCCUAUGUACACUUAAAAGAAAAUGCACAGAAGUUCUAUUUAUGAUUUUCUUUUCUCCUGAAGUAGCAGAUGGUCUCACAACACUGUGUGACAGCUAUCUUAUAAAACUGGGUUCCUGGCAUUUUCCAAUAUCCUUUCAGGCAAGGCUGUCUUGGGUUCCUCUAAUGGAAAUCUAUUUUAUUGGUAAAUAAUAGUCUGUCUUGAUUAACUGUUCCAAUGUAAUUCCUUCUCCCCUACGUGUAAUAAAGUAGUUGAACUGUUGAUUACUUAACACUGAGAACAACUGCAUGAAAGUGUAAAUGGGUAUACAAUAGGAACAUUAUUCGGGUUUUGGACUUACCGGUUUGUAUUCUGCUUAUUACACUAGGGGAAAACCAAAGUAAUAGCAGAGUCCUGUGAACAGAAUGGAAGGCAGAAUAGACUCCCAAAGCCUGACUUCUUGUAUUAACACCAUUUUUACCUUUGAUGUUUUCAUUUACUGAAUUAUAUCCAUUAUUAAGUGUACAUGAUGGAAAAUACAGUAAUUUGCUGGGAUAAAGCCAGUUUAAUGUGGCUUCAAGGAGCAUACAGAGAAGGGAAAAAACCUAAAUGUAUUUGAUAGAAGUGCUAGCAGAGGCAGCCUGUAUAGUUCCAUGAAUACAGUAGUAAAAUUUCCAUUUGCAAAAGAAACUCAGAGAAAUGGUUAUUUUAAUAAUUCUCUACCAUUUUACUGUUCUUCCUGCUGAGACUGCUAAAUGCUUUAUUGGCCUGAACAAUGUUAACAUCAUCCCCUCCUUGAAAUGUGAGAACUGUUAUUAUAACGUUCACCCUUAUUUCUGUGGUUGGAGAAAAGAAAGCUACGCAAGUAUCAGAACUGAUUAUUAUUUGUGUGUUGGGAGCUUAGUCCCAAAUGGCACACGGGAGUGUGAAAAAUCUGAGAUAAUUGUCAUUUAUAUGUUGUUUUCAUAGGGUCGGAUUUCAGCUAUUUGUGCAAACCCCGAGUAUCUCAGUGGGAAACGACUCACUUGAAUACAUGGUUUUAAUGUUCUAAAUAUAUACCCAUUUACAUUUUAAUUUAGUAUAGUAGUCUUUGUUAUAAAUAUGCAAUUAGAAUAAAAAAUGUGAUUUUACA